GUGCCAGCAGCCGCGGUAAUACGGAGGAUCCGAGCGUUAUCCGGAUUUAUUGGGUUUAAAGGGUGCGUAGGUGGUUUAAUAAGUCAGCGGUGAAAGUUUGCAGCUUAACUGUAAAAAUGCCGUUGAAACUGUUAGACUUGAGUGUAAAUGAGGUAGGCGGAAUGCGUGGUGUAGCGGUGAAAUGCUUAGAUAUCACGCAGAACUCCGAUUGCGAAGGCAGCUUACCAAGCUACAACUGACACUGAAGCACGAAAGCGUGGGGAUCAAACAGGAUUAGAAACCCUCGUAGUCC
Molecule: ribosomal RNA, 292 nt
Filed under: uncultured bacterium
Lineage: Bacteria
Description: partial 16S ribosomal RNA
Rfam family: Bacterial small subunit ribosomal RNA
Source: RNAcentral